UUUGUAGAGGGUGCUUCGGGCGCGAUGCCGGUCUAAGUUCCUUGGAACAGGACGUCGUAGAGGGUGAGAAUCCCGUAUGCGACCGGCGAUCAAGCCCGUGCGAAGCCCCUUCGACGAGUCGAGUUGUUUGGGAAUGCAGCUCAAAACGGGUGGUAAAUUUCAUCUAAAGCUAAAUAUUGGCCAGAGACCGAUAGCGGACAAGUAGAGUGAUCGAAAGAUGAAAAGCACUUUGGAAAGAGAGUCAAACAGUACGUGAAAUUGUUGAAAGGGAAGCGCUUGCAAUCAGACCGGUCCGGAGGCGAUCAGCCGCUGCUCGUCAGCGGUGCACUCGCCUGCGAUCCGGCCAGCAUCGGUUUGGGCGGCGGGAUAAAAGUCCCGGGAAUGUAGCUUCUCCCGGGGAGUCUUAUAGCCCGGGUCGCAAUGCCGCCCGCCCGGACCGAGGACCGCGCUUCGGCUAGGAUGCUGGCGUAAUGGUUGCAAGCGACCCGUCUUGAAACACGGACCAAGGAGUCUAACAUCUAUGCGAGUGUUUGGGUGUCAAACCCAGGCGCGGAAUGAAAGUGAACGGAGGUGGGAACCCGUCAGACGGCGCACCAUCGACCGAUCCAGAUGUCUUC
This 617-nucleotide ribosomal RNA is filed under the name Sticta cometiella. Its description in RNAcentral is "eukaryotic LSU rRNA". It matches the Rfam family "Eukaryotic large subunit ribosomal RNA", at positions 149 to 781 of the family's 3401-position model. The record is from RNAcentral. Lineage: Eukaryota; Fungi; Ascomycota; Lecanoromycetes; Peltigerales; Lobariaceae.